AGAGUUUGAUCCUGGCUCAGGAUGAACGCUGGCGGCGUGCUUAACACAUGCAAGUCGAACGAACCUUCGGGUUAGUGGCGGACGGGUGAGUAACGCGUGAGAAUCUGCCCUCAGGAGGGGGAUAACGGUUGGAAACGACCGCUAAUACCCCAUAUGCCUACUGGUGAAAUGAAUUUCGCCUGAGGAUGAGCUCGCGUCUGAUUAGCUAGUUGGUGAGGUAAUGGCUCACCAAGGCUUCGAUCAGUAGCUGGUCUGAGAGGAUGAUCAGCCACACUGGGACUGAGACACGGCCCAGACUCCUACGGGGGGCAGCAGUGGGGAAUUUUCCGCAAUGGGCGAAAGCCUGACGGAGCAACGCCGCGUGAGGGACGAAGGCCUCUGGGCUGUAAACCUCUUUUCUCAAGGAAGAAGAUAUGACGGUACUUGAGGAAUAAGCCACGGCUAAUUCCGUGCCAGCAGCCGCGGUAAUACGGGAGUGGCAAGCGUUAUCCGGAAUUAUUGGGCGUAAAGCGUCCGCAGGCGGCCCUUCAAGUCUGCUGUUAAAAAGUGGAGCUUAACUCCAUCAUGGCAGUGGAAACUGUUGGGCUCGAGUGUGGUAGGGGCAGAGGGAAUUCCCGGUGUAGCGGUGAAAUGCGUAGAUAUCGGGAAGAACACCAGUGGCGAAGGCGCUCUGCUGGGCCAUCACUGACGCUCAUGGACGAAAGCCAGGGGAGCGAAAGGGAUUAGAUACCCCUGUAGUCCUGGCCGUAAACGAUGAACACUAGGUGUCGGGGGAAUCGACCCCCUCGGUGUCGUAGCCAACGCGUUAAGUGUUCCGCCUGGGGAGUACGCACGCAAGUGUGAAACUCAAAGGAAUUGACGGGGGCCCGCACAAGCGGUGGAGUAUGUGGUUUAAUUCGAUGCAACGCGAAGAACCUUACCAGGGUUUGACAUCCUGCGAACCUCUUAGAAAUUUGAGGGUGCCUUCGGGAAUGCAGUGACAGGUGGUGCAUGGCUGUCGUCAGCUCGUGUCGUGAGAUGUUGGGUUAAGUCCCGCAACGAGCGCAACCCACGUUUUUAGUUGCCAGCAUUUAGUUGGGCACUCUAGAAAGACCGCCGGUGAUAAACCGGAGGAAGGUGUGGAUGACGUCAAGUCAUCAUGCCCCUUACACCCUGGGCUACACACGUACUACAAUGCUACGGACAAAGGGCAGCAAACUCGCGAGAGCUAGCAAAUCCCAUAAACCGUGGCUCAGUUCAGAUCGUAGGCUGCAACUCGCCUACGUGAAGUAGGAAUCGCUAGUAAUCGCAGGUCAGCAUACUGCGGUGAAUACGUUCCCGGGCCUUGUACACACCGCCCGUCACACCAUGGAAGUUGGCCAUGCCCGAAGUCGUUACUCCAACCCUUGUGGAGGAGGACGCCGAAGGUGGGGCUAAUGACUGGGGUGAAGUCGUAACAAGGUAACC
RNAcentral lists this ribosomal RNA (1446 nucleotides) under uncultured bacterium. RNAcentral's name for it is "bacterial SSU rRNA". It matches the Rfam family "Bacterial small subunit ribosomal RNA". The record is from RNAcentral.